UACAGAGGCCUCGAGCGUUGUUCGGAAUUACUGGGCGUAAAGGGAAUGUAGGUGGUGAUGUAAGUCAGAUGUGAAAGCCCUGGGCUUAACCUGGGAGGUGCAUUUGAUACUGCGUUGCUGGAGUGCGAGAGAGGAAAGCGGAAUUCCAGGUGUAGGAGUGAAAUCCGUAGAUAUCUGGAGGAAUACCGGUGGCGAAAGCGACUCUCUGGACGGCAACUGACGCUGAGGCACGAAAGCGUGGGGAGCAAACAGG
This 253-nucleotide ribosomal RNA is filed under the name uncultured bacterium. RNAcentral describes it as "partial 16S ribosomal RNA". It matches the Rfam family "Bacterial small subunit ribosomal RNA", at positions 524 to 776 of the family's 1533-position model. The record is from RNAcentral.